UACGGAGGAUCCAAGCGUUGUCCGGAUUUAUUGGGUUUAAAGGGUGCGUAGGCGGUCCUAUAAGUCAGUUGUGAAAUACGGCAGCUUAACUGUCGAGGUGCAAUUGAUACUGCAGGACUUGAGUACAGACGAGGUAGGCGGAAUUGACGGUGUAGCGGUGAAAUGCUUAGAUAUCGUCACGAACACCGAUAGCGAAGGCAGCUUACUAGACUGUAACUGACGCUGAUGCACGAAAGUGUGUGGAUCAAACAGU
This 253-nucleotide ribosomal RNA is filed under the name uncultured bacterium. Its description in RNAcentral is "partial 16S ribosomal RNA". It matches the Rfam family "Bacterial small subunit ribosomal RNA", at positions 524 to 776 of the family's 1533-position model. The record is from RNAcentral.